GGCACGCGUUUGAGCUGGCUCGGACAAGGAGGAGACGACAAGGCAGAUCGGGUUUCGGGUUUGAGAGCAGAGAGAGAGAGACGGCUGAAAAAGGGAGGUAGAUGGGGAGAAGCGACUGAAGAAGAGAGGGCGAUUGGAGAGGGGAAAGAGGGAAAAAAAAACAGAGGGCGAGUGGAGAGGGGUUCCUUUCUCUUUUUUGUAACAGAGAGCGACCGAGAGAAGGAGCCUCCUGAAGAAGCUCUGCGAGAGAGACACCGAGAGGAGGCGGACGCGAUUGGAGCUGGGUUUUGGUGGAGCAAAAAGGGAGAGGCAAAAUUGGGAGGAGAGAUAGAGAUGAGCUCAAUCGGGUUUUAGGAAGAGACACGAGGGAGACGUUCUGGGUUUAUUUUGUCCUUUUCCGGGAAACAUUUCACGGGGAAACAGAGGUGAAAGGGGGAAGACGAGUCCUAAAGGAGAGGGGAUUGAGCUGGGUUUGAAGAAAAAAAGAGAAUAGAGGGACUUAGAGGGAAUAAGCCGAGAGAAAAAGGCCGGGCAAAGGAGAGAGCAAGGAGCGUCGGGCUUGAGAGAGCAUAAAAAAAACUUCAGAGAGCAAGUUUGGUUAAGAUUCAAAUUUUGAUGAUAUCUGCUGUGUCAAAGUAUUUGCAAGCGGUGAACAGUUCAAAGGAAAACUAUGGAGGCACGGCAAACUAUAUCCAUUCGGAGAUCAGGUGCAAGGCAGCUCAGUGAUGGUGGAAUAUCUGGACCACUCUCUCCAUCCAUACCAGUCCUUUCAACACCUCUUGAAAAUACAUUUCCCAAGCUACCACACUCUCAACAGGUGCCUUUUGAAAGGGAAGUUAUGUCAAUGCCUCUUGUACAGGCAGCUCAUUUAUCUUCCACAGUGGACUAGUUGGCGACAUAUUUUCAU
Carica papaya (papaya) is the source of this 907-nucleotide non-coding RNA. Lineage: Eukaryota; Viridiplantae; Streptophyta; Magnoliopsida; Brassicales; Caricaceae. The record is from RefSeq and is a predicted model, not a curated record.